UAGUAUUAGUUAAGGUCUUUAAACCCAAAGAAUUUGGCGGUAUUUCAUUCCAUUCAGAGGAACCUAUCUCGUAAUUGAUAGUACACGAUUGACUUUACUUAAUUUAUUUGUUUGUAUAUCUCCGUUAUCAGAAAAUCUUUUUGAAGUAAAAAUUUUCUUGUUUUUAUAUUAAAGAUUAUUUCAGGUCAAGGUGCAGCUUAUAAUUAAGAGUAUGAUGGGUUACAAUAAGUUUUUGUUUAUUAUGGAUUUGAUUAUGAAAUUUUUU
Molecule: ribosomal RNA, 265 nt
Filed under: Stethophyma lineatum
Lineage: Eukaryota; Metazoa; Arthropoda; Insecta; Orthoptera; Acrididae
Description: partial 12S ribosomal RNA
Source: RNAcentral